UGGGGAAUUUUCCGCAAUGGGCGAAAGCCUGACGGAGCAAUGCCGCGUGGAGGUGGAAGGCCUACGGGUCGUCAACUUCUUUUCUCGGAGAAGAAACAAUGACGGUAUCUGAGGAAUAAGCAUCGACUAACUCUGUGCCAG
This 141-nucleotide ribosomal RNA is filed under the name uncultured bacterium. Its description in RNAcentral is "partial 16S rRNA". It matches the Rfam family "Bacterial small subunit ribosomal RNA", at positions 355 to 511 of the family's 1533-position model. The record is from RNAcentral.